GACGAACGCUGGCGGCGUGCCUAAUACAUGCAAGUUGAGCGAUGAAGAUUGGUGCUUGCACCAAUUUGAAGAGCAGCGAACGGGUGAGUAACGCGUGGGGAAUCUGCCUUUGAGCGGGGGACAACAUUUGGAAACGAAUGCUAAUACCGCAUAACAACUUUAAACAUAAGUUUUAAGUUUGAAAGAUGCAAUUGCAUCACUCAAAGAUGAUCCCGCGUUGUAUUAGCUAGUUGGUGAGGUAAAGGCUCACCAAGGCGAUGAUACAUAGCCGACCUGAGAGGGUGAUCGGCCACAUUGGGACUGAGACACGGCCCAAACUCCUACGGGAGGCAGCAGUAGGGAAUCUUCGGCAAUGGACGAAAGUCUGACCGAGCAACGCCGCGGGAGGGAAGAAGGUUGUCGGAUCGGAAAACUCGGUUGGUAGAGAAGAACGUUGGUGAGAGUGGAAAGCUCAUCAAGUGACGGUAACUACCCAGAAAGGGACGGCUAACUACGUG
RNAcentral lists this ribosomal RNA (497 nucleotides) under uncultured bacterium. RNAcentral's name for it is "partial 16S ribosomal RNA". It matches the Rfam family "Bacterial small subunit ribosomal RNA", at positions 28 to 507 of the family's 1533-position model. The record is from RNAcentral.